GACGACCUUUUGGGGCGUGCCUAACACAUGCAAGUCGAACGGAACUGUUUUGAAAGAUUUCUUCGGAAUGAAUUUGAUUUAGUUUAGUGGCGGACGGGUGAGUAACGCGUGAGUAACCUGCCUUCAAGAGGGGGAUAACAUUCUGAAAAGAAUGCUAAUACCGCAUGACAUAUCGGAACCACAUGAUUUUGAUAUCAAAGAUUUUAUCGCUUGAAGAUGGACUCGCGUCCGAUUAGUUAGUUGGUGAGGUAACGGCUCACCAAGACCGCGAUCGGUAGCCGGACUGAGAGGUUGAACGGCCACAUUGGGACUGAGACACGGCCCAGACUCCUACGGGAGGCAGCAGUGGGGGAUAUUGCGCAAUGGGGGCAACCCUGACGCAGCAACGCCGCGUGAAGGAUGAAGGUUUUCGGAUUGUAAACUUCUUUUAUUAAGGACGAAACUUGACGGUACUUAAUGAAUAAGCUCCGGCUAACUACGUGCCAGCAGCCGCGGUAAUACGUAGGGAGCAAGCGUUGUCCGGAUUUACUGGGUGUAAAGGGUGCGUAGGCGGCUUUGCAAGUCAGAUGUGAAAUCUAUGGGCUCAACCCAUAAACUGCAUUUGAAACUGUAGAGCUUGAGUGAAGUAGAGGCAGGCGGAAUUCCCCGUGUAGCGGUGAAAUGCGUAGAGAUGGGGAGGAACACCAGUGGCGAAGGCGGCCUGCUGGGCUUUAACUGACGCUGAGGCACGAAAGCGUGGGUAGCAAACAGGAUUAGAUACCCUGGUAGUCCACGCUGUAAA
This 781-nucleotide ribosomal RNA is filed under the name uncultured bacterium. RNAcentral describes it as "bacterial SSU rRNA". It matches the Rfam family "Bacterial small subunit ribosomal RNA", at positions 28 to 806 of the family's 1533-position model. The record is from RNAcentral.